UGAGUAACCUGCCCUUCACUCUGGGAUAACUCCGGGAAACCGGGGCUAAUACUGGAUAUGACUCGAACAGGCAUCUGUUUCGGGUGGAAAGAUUUAUUGGUGGAGGAUGGACUCGCGGCCUAUCAGCUUGUUGGUGAGGUAAUGGCUCACCAAGGCGACGACGGGUAGCCGGCCUGAGAGGGCGAUCGGCCACACCGGGACUGAGACACGGCCCAGACUCCGUACGGGAGCA
Molecule: ribosomal RNA, 232 nt
Filed under: uncultured bacterium
Lineage: Bacteria
Description: partial 16S ribosomal RNA
Rfam family: Bacterial small subunit ribosomal RNA
Source: RNAcentral